AAGGGCCAUGUGGCCCUUCACAUGAUAAAAGAAGGAAGGGCCUUCUGGCCCUUUCCAAUGAAGAAAAAAAAAGAAGAUAAUAAUAAAAUGAGGCAAUGCCUCUUUUUCUCUCAGAACCGAGAGAAGGAAAGAAGAGAAAGAAAAGAUGGGGAAACUUUUCUUAUUUUUGUGAUCUACGAAGAUCUAACGGUCCGAUCUUCGAUCCGUCUUCGGAAACGUGAUCCUUGCACUUGGAUCUACGUUUCCACCGAUCGUUUUAAGGUAAUGGGUUACUUGGAACUUGCUUAAGACUACCCAAACCAUGGGUUUUGGUUUGGUGAAUUUGGGAUAGUGUCUGGAUUGGAGUCUUUAAUGGGUUCUCCAAUGUAGAGUUCAAGUCAUGGUCCAAUGCAGCCAAAAUGAGUAUUCUACUCACUGAGAAGUGUUAUUUUCAUAUAUGAUGAAUUGUAAAAUAUGUAUUGUUUUACAAACUUGAACCAACUAUAUGUUGAUUAUGAAUUGUUUUGGAUGAUUUGAGUACUUUUGAGUAUAUUGAAAUUAUGAUAUGUGGAGUAAAUGAAUGGAGUCACUGUAUGUUAUGGUUGGGAGUUUUGAAAACUGUGAUUGCAAUGGAAUAUUAAUAUGAUUUUAGAGUGAGUAUAAAAUGGGAGAUUUGAGUUAUGCAAAUUGUUUAAAAAAAAUGACAUGUUGAACUGUUUAUAUUUUAUAAAGAAAGCAUAUGUUAUAAGCAUGAUUCAUGAAAUGAAAUUUAUUGAUUGAAGGCAUGAAGCAUAAGCAUAUGAACGGUAAACGUGCAUCGAAGUGAGGUUCACAGCCCACGGGAAAUUAUACAUGGGUUAGAUUCCCAUGAAGUGCCUACUUGGGUUAGAUUCCCUUGAGGUAUUCACGAGGUACUUACUUGGGUUAGAUUCCCUUGAGGUACUAGUACUUACUUGGGUUCGAUUCCCUUGAAGUACUCACGAGGUGCUUACUUGGGUUAGAUUCCCUUGAGAUCCUCGACCAUGGGUUAGAUUCCCAUGAGGUGCCUACUUGGGUUAGAUUCCCUUGAGGUACUAGUGCUUACUUGGGUUAGAUUCCCUUGAAGCACUAUACUUGGGUUCGAUUCCCAAGGCAUAAAACCAUUAGCAUGAGCAUGCAUAGCAUUGUUUUUGUGAGUGAUGUUUUUAUACUAUGAGUAGUUUUACUAGACGUAUUAGUAUGCAUAAGAGUCUCAAUGGAAAAGAGCUUAUGUAUAUUUCUAUCGGAUGGUUGCAUGAUUUAAAUGCCAUUGUUUUCUAUAACAGAACUUCUACGUAUAAUCUUAGUCGCCUAGUAUGUUUAAAUGUUUUUCUAGUAGUCGGUGUCCGCUAUAUCAGCUAUGGGGGUUUUUAAACAAAAGCUUAUAAAAUUGGUGGCUGUUAUAGUGUACGCAUGACUAGAAAUGAAAAGUUGGUUCUUUGCGAAAACUCAGUAAAUAGUAUACCUCUGAGGUCUUAGUAUAUUUAUGUAUGCUAAGGCGGUGGGCUCAUAAUUCCACCUAUACGGAUGUGGCAAACCC
Alnus glutinosa is the source of this 1537-nucleotide long non-coding RNA. RefSeq lists it as uncharacterized. The transcript has 4 exons. NCBI's taxonomy places the organism in Eukaryota, Viridiplantae, Streptophyta, Magnoliopsida, Fagales, Betulaceae. The record is from RefSeq and is a predicted model, not a curated record.